AUUUUGUGCAAUAGAUGAUUUUGUGUACAAAGUGGAAGCCCUGAAAAUCCACGAGUCAUACUGAUUCAUGGUUUCCCUUCACAGGCUUAUUCUUAUCGCAAAGUUCUACCAAUUCUCUCAAAGAAUUAUCAUGCUAUUGCUUUUGAUUGGCUAGGAUUUGGCUUUUCAGAUAAACCUCAACCCAAAUAUGGCUUUGACUACACUUUGAAUGAAUAUGUGUCAUCCUUGGAAUCUGUUAUCAAUGAACUCUCAAAAGAUAAGGUUACUCUUGUUGUCUAGGUACAUGCCAUCUUGAAUCUGGAUCUAUAACCAUACUUCCAAAGUUAUUUGUCAUCUGGCCUCUAAUUUUGACAAAUAUUAGCUUAUGCUGUUCUUUUAUAGGGAUACUUUU
Long non-coding RNA from Olea europaea var. sylvestris, 391 nucleotides. RefSeq lists it as uncharacterized. NCBI's taxonomy places the organism in Eukaryota, Viridiplantae, Streptophyta, Magnoliopsida, Lamiales, Oleaceae. The record is from RefSeq and is a predicted model, not a curated record. The transcript is spliced from 4 exons.